GUCAGCGCAUUAUAGUGGUUUGAGCAUUGGAUUGUGACUCUGGAGACCAGGUUCAAAUCCUGGCCCUGCCA
Non-coding RNA from Phrynosoma platyrhinos (Desert horned lizard), 71 nucleotides. Lineage: Eukaryota; Metazoa; Chordata; Lepidosauria; Squamata; Phrynosomatidae. The record is from the annotation of a GenBank genome assembly.